Molecule: unclassified non-coding RNA, 240 nt
Filed under: fungal sp.
Lineage: Eukaryota; Fungi
Description: partial internal transcribed spacer region
Rfam family: Eukaryotic small subunit ribosomal RNA (bases 1-46)
Source: RNAcentral
AAGUCGUAACAAGGUUUCCGUAGGUGAACCUGCGGAAGGAUCAUUAGCAAAUCGAAAUCAUGUGCGCCGCCGCAGGCGGUGCACAUCUGUCCCGGGGAGAAGGUCUGUUCGACUUUCUCUCUGUGAUUCCGGGGAGAAGGUCUGACUUUCUCCCUGUGUCAAGUGCUCCACGGAAAUGUAAAUCACCAACACCAAAAUCAAACUAAAAAACAACUUUUAACAAUGGAUCUCUGGGCUCCU